UACGUAGGGGGCAAGCGUUGUCCGGAAUCAUUGGGCGUAAAGCGCGUGUAGGCGGCCCGAUAAGUCCGCUGUGAAAGUCCAGGGCUCAACCCUGGAAUGCCGGUGGAUACUGUCGGGCUCGAGUCCGGAAGAGGCGAGUGGAAUUCCUGGUGUAGCGGUGAAAUGCGCAGAUAUCAGGAAGAACACCUAUGGCGAAGGCAGCUCUCUGGGACGGUACUGACGCUGAGACGCGAAAGCGUGGGGAGCGAACAGG
RNAcentral lists this ribosomal RNA (253 nucleotides) under uncultured bacterium. RNAcentral describes it as "partial 16S ribosomal RNA". It matches the Rfam family "Bacterial small subunit ribosomal RNA", at positions 524 to 776 of the family's 1533-position model. The record is from RNAcentral.